AACCAAUAUACUCACCAAUAACACAGGAAGGGCCUUUGCUUACUGAAGAUCUUAUCAAAGAAAAUGAGGAGUUUGUGCUUCGAACUGGGAGUGUUGGUGCUGGGUGUUCUCAACUCCUCUCUGACAUGCAAGCCUUCAAGGCUGCAAAUCCUGGUUGUAUCUUGGAGGAUUUUGUAAGAUGGCACUCUCCUCCAGAUUGGACAGAUAAUCUUGAUGAGGCUAAUGAGUUUUUCGAGGGAG
RNAcentral lists this unclassified non-coding RNA (240 nucleotides) under Hevea brasiliensis (rubber tree). Lineage: Eukaryota; Viridiplantae; Streptophyta; Magnoliopsida; Malpighiales; Euphorbiaceae. The record is from RNAcentral.